This 1825-nucleotide long non-coding RNA is filed under the name Phascolarctos cinereus (koala). Its description in RNAcentral is "lncRNA (ENSPCIG00000034308.1)". Lineage: Eukaryota; Metazoa; Chordata; Mammalia; Diprotodontia; Phascolarctidae. The record is from RNAcentral.
AUAUGAUGUAAAAAACAAAAGGUAUCAAAAAUAUUUCAUUUUUAAAAAUGCCUAAAGUGUAUUUGCCCAUAUCUAUCUGCAAGAUUAUGCAGUUCUAAAAAUAAACUAUAUAAAACAUAGGAGCACACAGAAGAAUGAAAGAACUCAAUUUUGGCACCUCCUUCAACCAAUGAGGUGAAUCUUUGAAAAUGAACAUUAUCCACAGAAAGUCAGAGCUGAGAGGGGCCCUAAAAAAACCCAACUCCUUACAAUGUCUAACUUCCUAAAGAAAUUAAGUCCCAAAGAGAGGAAGUCAAUGCUUGGCUAAUGGAAAAACCAGAACUAGAACAAAACUAAGUCUGCUGAUUUGUAGUUUCUAUUGGUCUGACUCCCGCACCUUUCAUUUAGAGGACUAUAAUUCUCCUGUUUUAGUAGAGAAUAGUGAACCUAAAAAAAAAAUUCCAAACAUUAAUGUAGUGCCAAAGAACCUGGUAAUUUUUUUUUAUCUUCAUAAUCAUUUCCUACCUUUUCUAAUCAUCACUUAAGAAGGAUAAUUAAUAAAGCAACGAGAUUAUGCAUGAAAGCUAAUGCAACCCGAAGUUAUGGGUAGGCGUAGUGGCUGGGAAGAAUGGUAAAAACAAAAGCAAACCAAACGUCCAAUUUAGAAGGGGCUCGUGCCUUCGCAGCAGGAAAGUGAGUGUUAGAUAUCUUCGGUGGUUCACAGAGCAAGGAAAUAAACGACAAACUGUGAAAAGAGGGAAUCUUUAGCUCUGGCCCAAGGCGUGGAUUUUUUAAAAAAAGUGAUUUGUAGGGAUAGUUCAAACUCAGGCAGAGACACACCGUUCCCUGAGAAAGGAAGGAACUUGUUUCUUUCCCUACUCCUCCCCAUAUUGAGAGGAAUUCUGAGCAGGAAAUGGACAGGGAAUCACGGUCCAUACGUAAUCCUGCUCCUAAUUAAUCAUACAGAAAAGGGAUAGACAGCGAGGAAGAGGAAAAAGAAAUGUGCCCCUCUAGACUCGAGGUGAGCGGAUCUAUGUGUUCUGAGUCCCUUCUGCAGCCAGCAGCCAAGGCACCCAGCAACCAACGGCAGCAGGGACCACCCUUUGGAACCAACAAAGCUCACUUACAAGAACCGGAGAAGAUGGAGAGAGGAAAUUCCAUCUGGGUAUUAUAGACAGCAUUUGGAAGAAACCUCUCCGUUUCAGAACGACCAUCUGAUUCAGAUCUAGUGUUCCGCAAAAAUAGGAAGGAAGGAAUGUAUACAAAGAAUAACCUACCUGUUAUUUCAAGGAAGCAAGUUGUAUUUUUUUAAUAAUGUAAUGCCUAUGUCCUGACUGAUAGCAAAAUGAAAAACUGAAACUGAAAUCUCAAAUACUCCAGCUAAAAUUUGAAUUUUAUAGGACCAUAAAUUUAGAGGAGACCUUAGUCCAACUUCUUCAUUUUACAAAUGAGGAAAUACGGGCCAAGACUUGCCCAACCUCACACAGAUAAGUAAAUCGACCUAGCCCCUUUGACUCUAUAUCUAUUCCUUAAAAAACUACCAGUGUUUCUGAUAGAAUGGGAAAAGCCUGGACUUUGAGUCCACUUGGAACUAGAAGACCUAGAUUGAAGUCCUGGUUCUACCACUUUCCAGUUCCGUGAAUUCCACUUUAUUAGCCUCAGUUUCCUUAUCUACAAAAUAAGGGGAUUGGACCAAGUGAUUUCUAAGAUCCCUUACAAAGUUCUAACAGCCUAUGGGACCAUUCUCCACUUUUCAAAGCACUUUCAAGUAUGUUAUUUAAUACUGUACCAAUCAAACUACCAAGGGGAUACUUUAUGAGGUUAAAUAAAAUAAUAGCAAAAUUCA